Molecule: non-coding RNA, 118 nt
Organism: Triticum aestivum (bread wheat)
Lineage: Eukaryota; Viridiplantae; Streptophyta; Magnoliopsida; Poales; Poaceae
Source: Rfam
AUAAUACUCCCUCCGUCCGGAAUUACUUGUCAUCAAAAUGGAUGUGUCUAGAACUAAAAUACAUCUAGAUACAUCCAUUUCAAUGACAAGUAUUUUCGGACGGAGGGACCAGUAGAAU